AUUGGGUGCUAUGCUGCAGUCGAGCGACGCAUGCCCAGUUCGUAAGAACAGGGUAUGACGGAGCGGCGAACGGGUGAGUAACACGUGAGCAACCUGCCCCACAGACCGGGAUAGCCCAAGGAAACUUGGAUUAAUACCGGAUUCCCUCGAACAAUCGCAUGGUUGAUCGAGGAAAGGCCUUUGUGCUGUGGGAUGGGCUCGCGGCUUAUCAGCUAGUUGGUGGGGUAAAGGCCUACCAAGGCAUCGACGAGUAGCUGGUCUGAGAGGACGAUCAGCCACACUGGAACUGAGACACGGUCCAGACUCCUACGGGAGGCAGCAGCAGGGAAUCUUGCGCAAUGGGCGAAAGCCUGACGCAGCAACGCCGCGUGGGGGAUGAAGGCCUUCGGGUUGUAAACCCCAUUCAGGAGGGAAGAAAUUGACGGUACCUCCAGAAGAAGGACCGGCCAACUACGUGCCAGCAGCCGCGGUAAUACGUAGGGUCCUAGCGUUAUCCGGAAUCAUUGGGCGUAAAGAGCUCGUAGGCGGUUCAGCAAGUCGGCUGUGAAAGUCCGAGGCUUAACCUCGGAAUUGCAGUCGAUACUGCUGUGACUCGAGUCCGGUAGAGGAGAAUGGAAUUCUCGGUGUAGCGGUGAAAUGCGCAGAUAUCGAGAGGAACACCAGUAGCGAAGGCGGUUCUCUGGGCCGGCACUGACGCUGAGGAGCGAAAGCGUGGGGAGCAAACAGGAUUAGAUACCCUGGUAGUCCACGCCGUAAACGUGGGAUACAAAGGUGUGGCGGGUUGUACCAACGACUGCCGUGCCGAAGCUAACGCAUUAAGUAUCCCGCCUGGGGAGUACGCGCAGCUAACUCAAAGUAGUGACGGUCCCCGCCACAAGCGGCGGGAGCAUGCGGCUUAAUUCGAAUGCA
Molecule: ribosomal RNA, 909 nt
Filed under: uncultured bacterium
Lineage: Bacteria
Description: bacterial SSU rRNA
Rfam family: Bacterial small subunit ribosomal RNA
Source: RNAcentral